AAUACUUUAUAUAUAAUAAAAAAAAACUCUAUUUAAUUAUUUUCGCUUGUAAUGUUAUACUAAUGAAGUUACUCGCGCAUUGCGGCGGAAUGAUACUAUAGAAUAUAAAAUAUAAAUAAAAUAAAAAUUUUAAAUUUUUUGAUUUGAUAUGGAACUUAAAUAAACAUAAAUAUAAAAUAUAAAAUAGAUAUAGGUAUAGAUAUAACAAAAUUUAUAAUUUUGGUAAAUAAAUCACACGUAAUAAUAAUAAAAUAAGUAAUAAAAUUUUUUUUACCCCACACACAUCUUCAUUGCACUAUUGACAUCGGAGAGGCAAAUUUCGAUCUUUAUAUCGCCUUCGCCGCUAGUGUCGAACUCCUCUUUAGUCACGACCAUAUCAAUCUCGUAUCCACAUCCUCUGCUUCUUCUCUCUCACUGACUCCAAAUCCAGCGCUCCGCCGCGAUCCUCGAAAUCCUAAUUUCAAUCCACACACAACAAAAAAUUUAAAAAAGUUAUAAAACAUGAGCCCUUUUUGUGCGCUAAGAAAAAAAAGAAAAAAAAUAAUAUGAAAAAAAAAUAUGAAGAAAUGGAAAUGAAAUCAUGUAAACAUAUUAAUUGAGAGAUAUGGGAGAGAAAAAAAAAACAAUAUGAAAAAAAAGGAGAAAUGGAGAUGAAACCAUGUAAACAUAUUAAUUGAGAGAUAGGGGGGUUAGGAAGAUGAAGCAUUGGGUGGGGGGUUAGAAAGAUGAAGAAUUGGAUGGAGAUGAUAUUAUGUAAGCACAUUAAUUGAGAGAUGGGAGUUUAGGAAGAUGAAACGUUGGAUGAAAAAGUUAGAUGAGAGAAGAGAAAAAGUGAAGGAGAAUUCGCCACGUGGCAAAAAAAUUAGGAGAAAUAAUGUAUAGGUAUAGAUUGUGGGUAUCGUAAUAACUGUGCUUUGCCCAGUCAUGUUAGAUGGAUCUUAAUAAUAACUGGACUAUGGGCUCCAAAACUUUAAAAUAAGAAAACUUCAAAUAUCACCCCUAUAGUUUUGUACUUUUUUAUUUUAGUAUCAUACGGUUUAAAGUAUGUCAAUUUAGUAUCCGGUGGUUUCGCAUUUUCUCACUUUAGUAUUCUAUAAUUUAAAGUGUAUCAAUUUAGUGCUCUGUGGUUAUAAAAAAUUUUAGAUAACCUAUCUAGGUUUAUCGAAUAUUCACUUUAGCAUAUCCUUUAGUUUUAACUUUGUCACUAUUUUUUUUUCUCCGUUAAUAUUUUGUUAAAUUAUAUACAAAAAAACUUCAUAUAAACUAUCUAGGUUUAUCGAAUAUUCACUUUAGUACUAUUUAAUUUUAACUUUGUCACUGAUUUAACGAAAAAAAAUUAGUGAAAUAGAUAAUAAAAAUAGAAAAAUAAAACCAUAGAGUGCUAACUUGAUAUACUUUAAACCACAGGGUACUAAAAUGAGAAAUUGUGAAACCACAGGGCUAACUUAAUACACUUUAAACCGUAGGGUACUAAAAUGAGAAAGUAUGAAACCACAUAGGGGUAUUUGAAGUUUACCCUUAAAAUAAUCAUAAUUUUUGCUAUAAAAUAAUCGAUCAAU
RNAcentral lists this long non-coding RNA (1559 nucleotides) under Ananas comosus (pineapple). RNAcentral describes it as "long non-coding RNA (ACOM_LNC027702)". Lineage: Eukaryota; Viridiplantae; Streptophyta; Magnoliopsida; Poales; Bromeliaceae. The record is from RNAcentral.